AAUCAGCAGUCUGUGCUUUAACAAGCGUUCUGGGUGAUUCUGAUGGAGACUGAAGUUUGCAAGCACUGUACUAAAGUGAUAAACGCCCAUUCUCGUCUACCGUAGACAUCUGUGGAUUUUAGCACAGAAAUAAGAGUAAUUAUGUCUGGACUGGGAAAUACUUCAUGGAGAAGGUGACACUUUAAAGGAAGCCUCAAGCUAGAUAAGCCAGGGAAAAGCAAUUCAGGCAGAGUACUGUGUACCCAAAGGCACAUAGGCAUGGAUUAGCCUGGCCUUCGGAGGAGUCUAUAAGUAGUUCUGCGGCAGGGUCCCGGGCAUGGCAGGGAGAUGAGGACGGAGAUGGAGGCAGGCGCCUUGAAUGCCAAGUUUCAAGCAGGGAACUGAUAACCUGGUGUAUAAGUGUGUAGAGAGAAUCUUGGAAGAAGCUUCAGGAAAGGAAGAAACAAGGCCAUCAAAACCUUCAGAGCGAAUAAGGAAUAAAGUUAACUUAAAAGCUUCACAGCAAAGGAAACCAUAAACAAAACGAAAAGACAACCCUCAGAAUGGGAGAAAAUAUUUGCAAAUGAAGCGACCAACAAGGGAUUAAUAUCCAAAAUACAAAAGCAGCUCAUGCAGCUCUAUGUCAAAAAACCAGACAACCCAAUCAAAAAAUGGGCAGAUCUAAAUAGACAUUUCUCCAAAGACGA
This is a long non-coding RNA of Balaenoptera ricei (Rice's whale), 686 nucleotides long. RefSeq lists it as uncharacterized. The record is from RefSeq and is a predicted model, not a curated record. The transcript has 3 exons. NCBI's taxonomy places the organism in Eukaryota, Metazoa, Chordata, Mammalia, Artiodactyla, Balaenopteridae.